This 983-nucleotide unclassified non-coding RNA is filed under the name Daphnia pulicaria. Its description in RNAcentral is "thiol S-methyltransferase METTL7B-like, transcript variant X1". Lineage: Eukaryota; Metazoa; Arthropoda; Branchiopoda; Diplostraca; Daphniidae. The record is from RNAcentral.
UGACUUCUCGGGGUUGAUUUUUCAACUCUGGGCCCAUUUCGGUUUGGGUCUCGGCGAUGCUCACAGGUCGCUCCUCUCCCAUAUCCUAAAUCCAUAACGCAAUAAAAUGUCGAGUCUUCUUCUAGACAUCCCCUCUGUUUUAUGGCCGUCGAUUCCACAGCUGAUGGUCGGUUGUGUCAUUCUGAUCGUUCUGAAAAAAUACUACAAUUCACACAUUCAGCCAUGGGUUUUUGCCAAAUUUUAUCCAUCGCUGGCCAAUUAUCACGUGACUUGUCGGGAGAUUAAGCGACAGCAUUUCGCGUCGAUGAAGAGUCACAAAUCGGCCGAUCCUGAGUUGAGGAAGAAGGGCGCCCUGAGGAUCCUGGAAAUCGGACCCGGUCCCGGCUACAAUUUCGAAUUCUAUCCGCCCAAAAGUGAACUGACGGCCGUCGAAGUCAACCGCUUCUUCGAGGAGCAAUUCUUCGAGAAACAGGCCGACCAUCCGCACAUCAAAAUGGAACGUUUCGUCGUCGGAUUCGCCGAGGACAUGAAGGACGUGCCGGACAACAGCGUCGACAUCGUCGUCUCCACCAUGGUCCUCUGCUCUGUUCGCAGUGUCGAAGGGGCCCUGAAAGAAGUCCAUCGCGUUUUGGCUCCGGGAGGAAAAUAUUAUUAUUGGGAGCACGUCCUCGACCCUGAGAACAUUUGGGCCCGCCUCGGCCAGCAUUUGGCUUCCUACACCUAUUACGACCUGCUCUUCGGCUGCCAGUUGAACCGCAAAAGCGGCGAAAUCGUCAAAGCCAACAAGGCCGGAUACUCGCACAUUGAGCACCAGCGAUUCAGAACACCACCGGAGAAGGGCUUCGAAUUCCUUAGCUUCUUUCACAGCGCUCACGCCAAAGGAAUCGCAACCAAAUAAGGAAUCGAUUAUUAUUCAUGAUAAAAUUGAUUAAUAUUGAGCAGCAGAUUUUAAAAAGGAAUGGCCUAUAAUAGAUUCAUUGAUU